GACGGUGGGGGCAAGUGUUCUUCGGAAUGACUGGGCGUAAAGGGCACGUAGGCGGUGAAUCGGGUUGAAAGUGAAAGUCACCAAAAAGUGGCGGAAUGCUCUCAAAACCAAUUCACUUGAGUGAGAAAGAGGAGAGUGGAAUUUCGUGUGUAGGGGUGAAAUCCGUAGAUCUACGAAGGAACGCCAAAAGCGAAGGCAGCUCUCUGGGUCCCUACCAACGCUGGGGUGCGAAAGCAUGGGGAGCGAACAGG
This 251-nucleotide ribosomal RNA is filed under the name uncultured bacterium. Its description in RNAcentral is "partial 16S ribosomal RNA". It matches the Rfam family "Bacterial small subunit ribosomal RNA", at positions 524 to 776 of the family's 1533-position model. The record is from RNAcentral.